UGUAUGGGUUUGUAGCAGACGGAUCAUGGGUGAGCAUAUCGGAGACUAAGCAAUGACUAAAUGUGUAUGAACAAAACCGUCCACUGUUUGCUUUCAUGUAAUGUCAAAGUAAUCUGAGAGCAUGAACACCAGAAAACACAACAGGAGUGAUUUGGAGAUCAGCAUCAUUUUGUGGAUCAGCUUGACGAGUCAGUCGACUGAAUAAUACUGAAGUUUUUCAAGCUGCUUUUCAUCCGUUUCCCCCCUUAGAUAAUUAUUAGCUUAACAUCCCCUUAACACAUGAUGGAAAUCAAUCUCACAUUAUGUUUUCACCACCACAGCACAGGUCUGCUACAAGAACACAUCCAGAGGUUUUUAGCUGAGGUUCAGAUCACCUCCAUUCCUCAGCACCGUGUACAUACCACGCCAGAUCAGAAAGCCCCAUCAAUGAACAAGUCUAACCUACUGGAAGAAGCAACCAGAUCAGAUUUGGGCCUAAGCACCUUGAUACCUGGUAGAAGAUGAAAUGACUGAGUCACCACAACAAUCUACGAUCAACGACCACGUCUGUCAUCCAGAAAGCACUUUGACCUUCUCUGUGGUGGUGUAUGAGACAAGAGAUAAAACAAAACCAAUAAAAUAUUGAAUAAAACUGUG
Molecule: long non-coding RNA, 636 nt
Organism: Trichomycterus rosablanca
Lineage: Eukaryota; Metazoa; Chordata; Actinopteri; Siluriformes; Trichomycteridae
Exons: 3
Source: RefSeq, a predicted model, not a curated record